Molecule: long non-coding RNA, 553 nt
Organism: Stegodyphus dumicola
Lineage: Eukaryota; Metazoa; Arthropoda; Arachnida; Araneae; Eresidae
Source: RefSeq, a predicted model, not a curated record
UGGCGUGGCUUCUAAUCCAGUAUUUGUGGAAGUUAUCACUAAGACCAGAAGCUAAAACAUAGUGCUAUCAUAAAGUAAAAAUUUUGAAUUUGUAUAUAAUUGUAUUUAGAUAUGUAUUGCUUUUUUUUUUUUUUUUUUUUUUUUUUUUUUUUGUUCUCUUUCUUUUCUAAUAUAAUUUUUCUUCUUUUUUUCAUCAUUCUAGGGUACAGCAGUUGGCCAUUUGACGGUCAGCUACAUCUUAUUUAUUUGUUCCUUCAUCUCUUUGAUAGCACUCAUUGUAACCCUCGGCAUCUUCUGCUACUUCAAAUCCCUGCAGUGUUCUCGACUCAAAGUUCAUCAGAACCUGGUAGUUUCCCUCAUAAUCCACUCAAUACUGCUCAUGAUCAUUCCUUCUACCGUCAUUUUCCGUUCUUCGUUCUUGACAUACACGGAUAUAGAAUGGCUGUGCAAACUUCUUAUGUGUAUUAAAAUGUAUGCAGCAAUGGCUAGUAUAAACUGGAUGUUCGUAGAAGGGUUGUUGCUUCAUAGUCGGAUCACUGUGUCCGUGUUCCAA